GUGCUCUCUUCAGGAACACAUAAACUUACAUUGGAAAAAAAUGCAGGGGGUAUUUGCAUGGCCCCUGCGCAAGGAUGACACAUACAUUUGUGAAGUAUUCCAGUCUUGC
This is a small nuclear RNA of Carcharodon carcharias (great white shark), 109 nucleotides long. Lineage: Eukaryota; Metazoa; Chordata; Chondrichthyes; Lamniformes; Lamnidae. The record is from RefSeq and is a predicted model, not a curated record.